UUGAGAGUUUGAUCCUGGCUCAGGACGAACGCUGGCGGCGUGCUUUAGGUAUGCAAAUCUAACGGAUCUGUACUUCGGACAGGAAUUUUUCCAGCCCGGGGGGCGGGUCAGUGGUGAACGGCUGAGUAACGCGUAGGAAUCUACCCACAAGAUGUGAAUAACCCCGAGAAAUCGGGGCUAAUACACAAUAGUUUCCGAUUUAAUCGGAAUAAAGGUUGUAGCAAUACUUCCGCUUGUGGAGGAGCCUGCGUCCCAUCAGCUAGUUGGCGGGGUAAAAGCCCACCAAGGCAAUGACGGGUAGGGGGCGUGAGAGCGCGACCCCCCAGAGGGGCACUGAUACACGGGCCUCACUCCUACGGGAGGCAGCAAUCUGGAAUAGUCGGCAAUGGGCGAAAGCCCGACCGCGCGACGCCGCGUGGAGGACGAAGCUCUUCGGAGUGUAAACUCACAUCAAAAAGGAGCGGCUAACUUCGUGCCAGCAGCAGCGGUAAUACGGAGGCUUCAAGCGUUGUCCGGAUUUAUUGGGCGUAAAGUGUCUUAAGGCGGUUUGUUAAGUUUCUGGUUAAAUCUCUCGGCCCAACCGAGAAACCGCCAAAAAUACUAACAAACUAGAGAUUAGCAGGGGUAAGCGGAACGCACGGUGUAGUAGUGAAAUGCGUUGAUAUCGUGCGGAACACCAAGGGGGAAGCCAGCUUACUGGGCUUAUACUGACGCUGAUAGACGAAAGCGUGGGCAGAAAAACGGAUUAGAUACCCGUGUAUUCCACGCUGUAAACGAUCCUUGCUAGAUAGUUGUUCCGAUUUAUCGGAGUGGCUGUCGCAGCUAACGCAUUAAGCAAGGCGCCUGGGAACUACGGCCGCAAGGCUAAAACUCAAAGGAAUUGGCGGGGAGAUGCACAAGCGGUGGAGCAUGUGGUUUAAUUGGAUGAUGACCCAGGAACCUUACCCAGGUUUGACAUGCAGCUGCAAAUCCCGUGAAAGCGGGACUUCUUCGAGAGUGCUGCACAGGUGUUGCAUGGCUGUCGUCAGCUCGUGCCGUGAGGUGUACGGUUAAGUCCGUCAACGAGCGCAACCCCUACUCUGAUUUGUAUCACUAUCAGAGAACUGCCCCUGUAAGGGGGAGGAAGGUGGGGACGACGUCAAGUCGGCAUGGCCCUUAUGCCUGGGGCUACACACAUGCUACAAUGGCCAGUACAAAGGGUUGCAACCUCGCGAGAGGUAGCUAAUCUCAUCAAAGCUGGUCUCAAUUCGGAUUGAAGGCUGCAACUCGCCUUCAUGAAGCUGGAAUCGCUAGUAAUCGCCGGUCAGCUAUACGGCGGUGAAUAUGUUCUCAUCUCUUGCACACACCGCCCGUCAAUUGGGGGAAGCUGGAAACACCUGAAGGCUGUGUUUUACACGGACCAAGGUGGAGUCAGUAACCAACAAUAAGUCGUAACAAGGUAGCCGUAGGGGAAUCUGCGGCUGGAUCACCUCCUUUCUAAGGAGUAA
This 1487-nucleotide ribosomal RNA is filed under the name bacterium CG2_30_40_12. RNAcentral describes it as "bacterial SSU rRNA". It matches the Rfam family "Bacterial small subunit ribosomal RNA". RNAcentral also lists the same sequence under 2 other names. The record is from RNAcentral.